GCCGUCGUAGCCCAAUCAGGUAGAGGCGCCCGGUUUAGGUCCGGGAGGAUCGGGGUUCGAGUCCCUUCGGCGGUA
This 75-nucleotide transfer RNA is filed under the name Actinomadura nitritigenes. RNAcentral's name for it is "tRNA-Leu". It matches the Rfam family "tRNA". Rfam says of the family: Transfer RNA (tRNA) molecules are approximately 80 nucleotides in length. The record is from RNAcentral. Lineage: Bacteria; Bacillati; Actinomycetota; Actinomycetes; Streptosporangiales; Thermomonosporaceae.